RNAcentral lists this transfer RNA (77 nucleotides) under Actinophytocola xinjiangensis. RNAcentral's name for it is "tRNA-Thr". It matches the Rfam family "tRNA". From Rfam's summary of the family: Transfer RNA (tRNA) molecules are approximately 80 nucleotides in length. Their secondary structure includes four short double-helical elements and three loops (D, anti-codon, and T loops). RNAcentral also lists the same sequence under 2 other names. Lineage: Bacteria; Bacillati; Actinomycetota; Actinomycetes; Pseudonocardiales; Pseudonocardiaceae. The record is from RNAcentral.
GCCGCCUUAGCUCAGUCGGCCAGAGCGGCUCACUCGUAAUGAGCAGGUCGUCGGUUCGAUUCCGACAGGCGGCUCCA